GAACAACUCACAACUCAGGGAAGUGCUGUACUUGCAACUGUAGUUUUAUUAGAAAGAAUCUGGAUCAGGACCAGUCAGAUGAAGAGACGCACAGGGCGAGGUGUGGGAGGGUCCCCACAGGGAGCCUCCAUGCCCGCCACCUGUGGAGUCAGGGUGUGCACCCUCCCAGCACAUCCGUGUGUCCACCAGCCGGGAAACUCCACCGCACCUCGGUCUCCAGAGUGUUUACUGGGGUUUCGUUACAUGGAACAGGGACCACAGACUCCACUCCAUCUCCAGCCCCCACAGAAGUCCUGCUGGCUCCAAGCCCAGCCCUCUGAUCACAGGGUUGGCCUUUCUGGUAACCAGGCCCAUCCUGAGCCAUCACAUUAGCAUAAACUCAGGCGUGAGCCAAGGAACUCAUGAAUAGCAAGAUACUCCUGUCAUUCAGAAAAUGCCCAGGGUUUUGAGAGGCCAGGUGCCAGGAACCCAGAACAAAGACCAGAGAAACUCUUUAUUUUACAACAGAGUAGAAUGAGAAAACUAAGAGAUUUUUUUAUAAUGAGUUAGCCAGUGACAGGUUAAAUAACAAUGAUGUGGGCUCUCACUUAAUCCCCAAGGAGUUAUGUAAUGGUCAAGUUACUUUCCCUUUGAACUUCCUGCUGUCGCUCUGCCCCUUGUGAUAAUUGAUAAUUACAUCUGGAUGAACUCCUGCCUCCCUCUGCAGACGUGGGGAAUUGAAUGCUCUCUUGCGCAUUUAGCUGCGUAUUGCUUUCCACAACAACGUAGAACUGUGUGAGAUUCCUUUUCUCACACUAGGACUGUUUCAACAUUUUUAGGACACUGCUUCAUCCAUCCUUUAGCUCCUGCCAUUCUUCCAAAAAAGAGAAUUUGGGGUAAUGUACACAUUUGGCACCAUAUGAAUACAUAUUCUAAAAAUCGCAUUCUUAACAUUUUUCCAAAACCUGUUUUUUUCCUUUUCCCCCUUUCCAUGGUCCCCUCUAUCCAACUUCAGUAUUCCAGAAAUCAGAGUCUAGUAUGAGAAUUCUCUUUGGAAGUUAAGAUUGAUCUGUGUCAAUUAAGAUGCUUUCAGCUUCAAGUAAAAUGAAUAAAGAAACAUGCCAAUGGGCUUAAACCAUCAGGAAUUGUAAUGGCUCAUGUAACUGAAAAUGCAGACAUAGGGUGAGUUCCAGGCAGCCGGGAGUCUGGCACAGUUUCUUAAUAAUCCUUCUCAGCUUUACCACAGAAAUGAGGGCAGUGUGCUUCCUGGUUUGUGUCUAGCAAGAGAGACUGGUUUUCUGUCACUGUCUUUAAAAAUAAGGAGAAUCUUUUCCAGAAGUCUCUAGCAGCCGUCCCCUGGAAUUGAACUGACCAAGAUUGCAUUAUCUGCCUCUUCCUAGCUGGAGAGAUGGGAUUAAUGUUAGUCUGUUUAGAGCCCAUCCCUGGAACUGGGAAUCCGGUAUCAUCUGUGAGUCUCAUCGGCUGCAAGGGUGAGGGGUGGGUAUCUCAUCAGAAGAUCUGUUAGGAGGGUGGGAGGAGGAAAAUGGACAUCGAGUGGGCAACCACGGUUGUUCACUGUACCUGGAAAAGUGACCUGGCAGGUUGAUGAUGACAAAACAACAUUUAUCCAGCACUUACUGUAUUCUAGGUGCUGCGUGUGCGUUUUCUCCUAACAGCCCUUUCAGGCAGGUACCGCUCUUCUUCUCGUUCUACGAAUGAUGACACCGAGAGAGAUUAAGGGACUUGCAUUGAUGCUGCACAAAGACGGAUCACUGACGUGCCACCUGAUUUGAUUACACAGUCCACGUGUUGAGAGGUGGUGAGAUGUGAAACUCAGAGUCACUCCCUGUUUGAUUUUGUAGCUUGCAUACAAGAUCCUCCUAAAAGUAAUAAAUUAUAAUUUAAAAAGUAACUCAAGUAAUUUAAUUCUAUUAAGGAUAUGUAAUGUGACCAUAAGCAAAAGAUGGAGACAACCCAAAUUUCCAUUGACAGGUGAAUGGAUUAGACAAAGUGUGGUCUACCCAGACAGUGGGAUCUAAGCAGCCUUAUAAAGGGGUGCAGUCCUGACACCUGCCGCAACACGGGUAAAGCCUGAAGACUUCAUUCCAAGUGAAACGAAGGGCCAGUAUUUUAUGACUUCACUUAAAUGAGGUAGUGCCGGUCUGCAGGUACAAAAUGGGAGUAACCUUAGCAGGAAUGAUUCACAUGCCGCUGACUCUCGCCCAGACCGAUGCACAGAAGACAUCAAGUCAGCCCCACUGCAAAGCCUCAUGCUAUGCUCUUAUUUUUUUUAUUUUUUAUUUUUUUGAGGAAGAUUAGCCCUGAGCUAACUACUGCCCGUCCUCCUCUUUUUGCUGAGGAAGACUGGCCCUGAGCUAACAUCCG
Long non-coding RNA from Equus caballus (horse), 2364 nucleotides. Lineage: Eukaryota; Metazoa; Chordata; Mammalia; Perissodactyla; Equidae. The record is from Ensembl.